RNAcentral lists this ribosomal RNA (445 nucleotides) under uncultured prokaryote. RNAcentral's name for it is "bacterial SSU rRNA". It matches the Rfam family "Bacterial small subunit ribosomal RNA", at positions 338 to 774 of the family's 1533-position model. The record is from RNAcentral.
CCUAGGGGAGGCAGCAGUGGGGAAUAUUGGGCAAUGGGCGAAAGCCUGACCCAGCGACGCCGCGUGGGCGAUGAAGGCCUUCGGGUUGUAAAGCCCUUUCGUGUGGAAAGAACAGCCCCAUGACGAAUAAUCGUGGGGUUUGACGGUACCACAAGAAGAAGCACCGGCUAACUCCGUGCCAGCAGCCGCGGUAAUACGGAGGGUGCAAGCGUUGUUCGGAAUUAUUGGGCGUAAAGGGCGCGUAGGCGGUUGUGUGAGUCAGAUGUGAAAUCCUUCGGCUUAACUGAAGAACUGCAUUUGAUACUGCGCAACUAGAGUACAGGAGAGGGAAACGGAAUUCCCGGUGUAGAGGUGAAAUUCGUAGAUAUCGGGAGGAACACCAGUGGCGAAGGCGGUUUCCUGGCCUGAUACUGACGCUGAGGCGCGAAAGCGUGGGGAGCAAACA